Molecule: ribosomal RNA, 997 nt
Filed under: uncultured bacterium
Lineage: Bacteria
Description: bacterial SSU rRNA
Rfam family: Bacterial small subunit ribosomal RNA
Source: RNAcentral
UGGGGGAUAUUGCACAAUGGGGGAAACCCUGAUGCAGCGACGCCGCGUGGAGGAAGAAGGUUUUCGGAUUGUAAACUCCUGUCGUUAGGGACGAUAAUGACGGUACCUAACAAGAAAGCACCGGCUAACUACGUGCCAGCAGCCGCGGUAAAACGUAGGGUGCAAGCGUUGUCCGGAAUUACUGGGUGUAAAGGGAGCGCAGGCGGGAAGACAAGUUGGAAGUGAAAACCAUGGGCUCAACCCAUGAAUUGCUUUCAAAACUGUUUUUCUUGAGUAGUGCAGAGGUAGAUGGAAUUCCCGGUGUAGCGGUGGAAUGCGUAGAUAUCGGGAGGAACACCAGUGGCGAAGGCGGUCUACUGGGCACCAACUGACGCUGAGGCUCGAAAGCAUGGGUAGCAAACAGGAUUAGAUACCCUGGUAGUCCAUGCCGUAAACGAUGAUUACUAGGUGUUGGGGGAUUGACCCCCUCAGUGCCGCAGUUAACACAAUAAGUAAUCCACCUGGGGAGUACGACCGCAAGGUUGAAACUCAAAGGAAUUGACGGGGGCCCGCACAAGCAGUGGAGUAUGUGGUUUAAUUCGAAGCAACGCGAAGAACCUUACCAGGUCUUGACAUCCGAUGCAUAACACAGAGAUGUGUGAAAUCCUUCGGGACAUCGAGACAGGUGGUGCAUGGUUGUCGUCAGCUCGUGUCGUGAGAUGUUGGGUUAAGUCCCGCAACGAGCGCAACCCUUAUUGCCAGUUACUACGUUAAGAGGACUCUGGCGAGACUGCCGUUGACAAAACGGAGGAAGGUGGGGAUGACGUCAAAUCAUCAUGCCCUUUAUGACCUGGGCUACACACGUACUACAAUGGCGUUAAACAAAGAGAAGCAAGACCGCGAGGUGGAGCAAAACUCAAAAACAACGUCUCAGUUCAGAUUGCAGGCUGCAACUCGCCUGCAUGAAGUCGGAAUUGCUAGUAAUCGUGGAUCAGCAUGCCACGGUGAAUACGUUCCC